UUCCGGUUGAUCCUGCCGGACCUGACUGCUAUCGGAUUGAUACUAAGCCAUGCGAGUCAUUGUAGCAAUACAAGGCAUACGGCUCAGUAACGCGUAGUCAACCUAACCUAUGGACGGGAAUAACCUCGGGAAACUGAGAAUAAUGCCCGAUAGAACACUAUACCUGGAAUGGUUUGUGUUCCAAAUGAUUUAUCGCCAUAGGAUGGGACUGCGGCCUAUCAGUUUGUUGGUGAGGUAAUGGCCCACCAAGACUAUUACAGGUACGGGCUCUGAGAGGAGUAGCCCGGAGAUGGGUACUGAGACACGGACCCAGGCCCUAUGGGGCGCAGCAGGCGAGAAAACUUUGCAAUGUGCGAAAGCACGACAAGGUUAAUCCGAGUGAUUUGUGCUAAACGAAUCUUUUGUUAGUCCUAGAAACACUAACGAAUAAGGGGUGGGCAAGUUCUGGUGUCAGCCGCCGCGGUAAAACCAGCACCUCAAGUGGUCAGGAUGAUUAUUGGGCCUAAAGCAUCCGUAGCCGGCUCUGUAAGUUUUCGGUUAAAUCUGUACGCUUAACGUACAGGCUGCCGGGAAUACUGCAAAGCUAGGGAGUGGGAGAGGUAGACGGUACUCGGUAGGAAGUGGUAAAAUGCUUUGAUCUAUCGAUGACCACCUGUGGCGAAGGCGGUCUACCAGAACACGUCCGACGGUGAGGGAUGAAAGCUGGGGGAGCAAACCGGAUUAGAUACCCGGGUAGUCCCAGCUGUAAACUAUGCAAACUCAGUGAUGCAUUGGCUUGUGGCCAAUGCAGUGCUGCAGGGAAGCCGUUAAGUUUGCCGCCUGGGAAGUACGUACGCAAGUAUGAAACUUAAAGGAAUUGGCGGGGGAGCACCACAAGGGGUGAAGCCUGCGGUUCAAUUGGAUUCAACGCCGGG
Molecule: ribosomal RNA, 914 nt
Filed under: uncultured crenarchaeote
Lineage: Archaea; Thermoproteati; Thermoproteota
Also listed under: 1 other name
Description: bacterial SSU rRNA
Rfam family: Archaeal small subunit ribosomal RNA
Source: RNAcentral